Molecule: long non-coding RNA, 242 nt
Filed under: Bos taurus (domestic cattle)
Lineage: Eukaryota; Metazoa; Chordata; Mammalia; Artiodactyla; Bovidae
Description: long non-coding RNA NONBTAT011527
Source: RNAcentral
UAUAUGCCCUAUUAAACCCCUACACUAAUAUUAUAAAUAUAAAUGUUUAUAUGUGCAAAUAUGUAUAAGUUUGCUAUAAACAUGAAACACUGACAUCCAGAUAGUAGGUACGCCAGCUCAAUAUCAGAAAGAUUUCAGGAAAAGAAGGCAUGUAUGAUAUUUCUACUUUCUAUUUCUAUAUAUAGACAACAGUGUAAGACCAAUAAAGUAUACCUUUAAGUCAGUGACCUUUUCAUGAUGCA